RNAcentral lists this non-coding RNA (29 nucleotides) under Mus musculus (house mouse). Lineage: Eukaryota; Metazoa; Chordata; Mammalia; Rodentia; Muridae. The record is from RNAcentral.
UGAACUCAACCUCUGUACGGAUUCUGUAA